UAAAGAGUCGUACAAAAACCUCCGUCAGUCAGAGUCACAGUGACUGAACUGAUACUGCAGCUGCUCAAAGGAGGAUCUGAAACAACAUCGUCACACAAACAUCAGAAAUAAAACCAUCUAAAUUAAUCUGCCACUCUUAAUAAUUAUAGAGGUCAGAAAGAGAUUUUGUCAGUAACACGUUUGAGAUCUGAGUGAUUUCAGUUGCCGCCUUUUAUUAAUAAUAGAUAUUAAUUUUCAUAAUUCUCCAUGUUUGUUUCAUUUGAGUAUCCCGGUACAUGUAAUUUGUACUGCAGACAGUAAGAGUUUCAUAUUAGCCUGCUAUUUUAAAGGGAUAGUUCACCCAAAACUGAAAAUUACCCCAUGAUUUACUCACCCUCAAGCCAUCCUAGGUGUAUAUGACAUUCUUCUUUUAGACGAAUACAAUCGGAGUUAUAUUAAAUAAUGUCCAGGCUAAUCCAUGCUUUAUAAUGGGAGUGGAUGGUGGGUCAAAUUCUAAAGACAGAAAAAAUGCACCCAUCAGUUAUAAAAGAAGUCCACACGACUCCGGAGGGGUUCAUAAAGGUCUUCUGAAGCGAAGCGAUGCGUUUGUGUAAGAAAAAUAUCCAUAUUUAAAACUUUAUAAACUGUAAUUUCUAGCUUCCGCUAACUGUCAUACGCGCGUUCACGAGAGAGUAGCAUCCCAGCUUAUGAUGAAGGACGCAGGCGCAGUGUGAGCUCCGGUGACGAACACGGAAGCGCAGGGGAGAGAGCAAAACAAAACACCGGUCACGAAUUAAAAGUACAAAACUAGGAUUUGUAAAGAAAAAUGUCGGAGGAUUUCAAUAUAAGCCAAGAGGAGACUGAGUUUUUUGCCCAGCCAUAUUUGUUUGAACCGGAGUAUACCGACCAGGAACUCCGGGAGAUGAAGGAGGCUGCAGCGGCACAAACAACAGAAUUGAGGAGACGGAGAGCUCACGACCCCUUAUUUACACUGCGCGCGUCUGCGGUGUCCGUCAAAAAUAGACUUGCCGCCUAUCUUUAGUGAAGCGGUGAGGCACAGCUGGUGUAAACACAAGCAUUGAUUAGAGUGGCCGCAGAUCAGCUCCGGUAGCCGCGUCGCAGCCGUAAAUCGUUUCCGUGGUGGUAUUCGAAGCUAUUCCAACAGAGGUUGAGAGAGUUUGCUGCCGCGAAUGUGUGAUUGGAGUGCCACCUUUAGACUUUUUUGAUGCUGCCGGUGAGAGGACUGAUCGCUGCUGUGUAACACAAUAUAAAGGAUUUCUGUCUUUGUUGAGCCAAAGUGUAGCCUACUCGAAGUAGUAUUCUCCUUACCUCGUAUAAAACUGGAGGCGUCGACCAAGGCCUGAAGGACCUGGUGGUGUACUGUCUGUGGAGUAAAUAUUUUUUUGUGUGUAAAUAUUAUGGUGUUAUAGAUGUGGGCUAGCUGUAUUCACUCUAUGCAUUUGUUUUAUAGUCAGCUCAGGUUGGUGGCAUACCGAGUUGUGCUAGUUUUAAAUGUUAAAUUGCAUGUAGAGAUUAAAAAAAUUAUUAAAAAAAAACUUUACAACAGUUACAUGAGCGAUUACUUCACUUCAUAUAGCAAUCUUAUUACAGUAUUUGUUGAAUAUAUACCUCAUUUGGCUGAAACAACAGCGCAGGCAUAGGCACAUCUGACCAUUUUUAGAAGUCAUCUUGUACUUCCACUCUUUGCUGCCUUGUAAUCCUCGGACCUAAAAUAUUGACUGCACAACACGCGUUGAUAUAAUUUUUCCACAGGUGUAUUUACAUCCCAGCGAAUAGCGAGCAGCCAUAGCUUUAAUCGCUCAGGAUCCUUUACAGCGAAUUUGUAAAAUGUAAUGGCGCAUCUCCCUUUGAUGUUGGCGCAUGUAAUCUCAAGACUUUAGCUUUGUUGUAGCAACCUGGAUAUUCACAAGGUAUAUAAUAUAAAAUAUUUUCACUGGAGCUCACACUGCGCCUGCGUCCUACAUCAUAAGCUGGGACACUACUCUCUCGUGAACGCACGUAUGACAGUUAGUGGAAGCUAGAGUUUACGGUUUAUAAAGUUUUAAAUAUGGAUAUUUUGCACUCUGCACUGGUCUGAACCUUUUCUGUGACCUCUGACCCAUCCAGCGUCCAGCUCACCAGCACCCCCAGUAUGUAAGGGAAUGUGCGUGUUUUGGUUCAGUGUUGUGACCGCGUUAUCUGACAUGACACAGUUCAGAAAGUCUCAGAGAAGGUCUGAUGAUGUUAUUUUUACAGAAUAAACUCGACCUGUAUUCAACCCCCUGAUGUGUUUUAAACACGUUUGUUUCUCACAGCUAUAGAAAAUGUUUCUGGAUUGGUGUUUCUGAGCUGUAAAGGAACCCAAAGACAAUUAAAGCUACAUGCUAAACUUAUUAUGCUAGAGAGUGUACACGUGCAUUGAAGCUAACCAAAGGCCAAGUGUUUGUCUUAUGUUGGCCAUAUACCCUGUAAAGUAAACUUUGCAGGUCAUGUACCCUUUGGCUCAAACAAUGACUUUAGGCCAGAACUGAAGUACUGUUUGUCACUUUUGCAGCCGUUACAGUUACACACACAGGAGCCCCAUUGGAUAAAUUCAUCACUGUAUUAACUGUCCUUGUUAAUCACUGUCCUGUUCAUCACUGGUACUUCUGUCUGUUCACACCGCCCUCUAGUGGCGCAGUGAUGUAGUGCAAGAUAACAGGAAUGAAACUGUUGACACUGUUUUCUCUCCCUCCAGUUUUGCUCUGAAGGGUUUCUGUCAUCAGUACAGCUGUGAUCACCUGCGGUCUCGUACCUGCAGCCGAAUUACAGUCGAGCUGAUGAUGCUUAGAUAAUGAUAAUAUAGUUUUGAAACAUUUCAUCUUAUCACAAUUGGUCCUAAAUUUUAUGCUACAUUUUUAAAGUUCACACUUGGUGUACCAUGAAUACAUGAUACAUAUUUAAUGUUGUGAUUGACAGGAUGAGUUCCUCCUGAACUCUAAUUUAGAGCCUCAUUUAAAUACAGAAUGAGUUCAUUUGCAUAUUGAUCAGAUGCUUCAGUGCUCUGAGAGUGUUUAUAGUGCUGUGAGUUUAACACUUCAUCACUGACACACACAACAAUCUUCAUCAACAUGACCUUCAUCAUCAUCUUCAUCUGGACUCUCACAGCGUUUGCUCAAGAGUGUAGAGGACAGAUCACCGUCACUCAGAGUCCCUCAAUGACAGCAGCUCAACCAGGACAAACUGUGAACAUCAACUGUAAAACCAGCAGAGAUGUGUUCAGAUAUAGUGGGGAUGAUCGUUUAUUCUGGUACUUACAAAAACCUGGAGAAGCUCCUAAACUCUUGAUUCGUUUUGUAAAAUGGAACAUUGAAACUCCAUCUAGAUUCAGUGGCAGUGGAUCUAACAGUGAUUUCACUCUGACCAUCAGUGGAGUCCAGACUGAAGAUGCUGGACAUUAUUACUGUCAGAGUCUUCAUUGCAGAAGAGGUU
Molecule: long non-coding RNA, 3450 nt
Organism: Ctenopharyngodon idella (grass carp)
Lineage: Eukaryota; Metazoa; Chordata; Actinopteri; Cypriniformes; Xenocyprididae
Exons: 2
Source: RefSeq, a predicted model, not a curated record